GAUAAUGCAAAUCCAUUUGCAGCUCUUCUGGGGAACCAGGCAGGGAACCAAGCUAGUGAUGGGUCAACUAAUCCAUCAAGUGCUAACUCUGAGUCCACCACAGGUUCCCCAGCUCCAAAUACCAAUCCGCUGCCCAACCCAUGGACUUCUGCUGGGUGUAAGCUCUCUCUUUCUCACCCUUCAUAUUAAUCAUUUUGAAGCAGUUGAAAAGUAAAUUACUGUGUAUCUUCUUAUGUUCUUUGUUCUUAAUCUUUCUGCUAACUCCUCCUUCCUCCUUCCACUCCUGAAAGGUGUUAGGUUUGCAAUGAGUCUACUUUCUAUAAUCAUUUCAAUGACAUUCUGAGUUAAGUUAAAAAUAUGUUAUUUAGAUUUCAAAAAUAUUGUAUGUCAAUGGGUGAUGGUAGUGCUUGAGUUAGGUUGGCUUUUUAGUGAUUUUGUAUUUCAUCACUGGUCUGUUUAUAACCUUUUCUCAGAGUUCCUAGAUAUUUAAUACAGUUUUAUUUAUUUACUUGCCUUUUAUUUUAUGCACCUUAAAAAUGUCUUAUGAAGCAUGUGACAUUUAACUUUGAUUAAGUUAGUGUUUUAUAUGUUUCUCUCUCUCUCUCUCUCUCUCUCUCUCUCUCUCUGAUUAUCAGUGCUUAAAAAUGCAAAAUAAUAGAUAAUCUAUCGACUGCUUUUGCUAACUUCUGAUUAAAUGCAACUUUUAUAGCUGGUGCUGCCCCCCAGGCUAACACCACAAGGUCAAAUACUGCUGGGGAUGCUAGGGCACAGGCACCUGCUGGGUUAGGUGGACUUGGUCUUCCAGAGUUUGACAACAUGUUUGGUGCUAUGCCAGACGCUAAUCUAAUGACUCAGUUAUUGCAAAAUCCAGCUGUUUCACAAAUGAUGCAAAGCCUCCUU
This 900-nucleotide long non-coding RNA is filed under the name Jatropha curcas. RNAcentral's name for it is "long non-coding RNA (JCUR_LNC000524)". Lineage: Eukaryota; Viridiplantae; Streptophyta; Magnoliopsida; Malpighiales; Euphorbiaceae. The record is from RNAcentral.